Molecule: ribosomal RNA, 450 nt
Filed under: uncultured bacterium
Lineage: Bacteria
Description: partial 16S ribosomal RNA
Rfam family: Bacterial small subunit ribosomal RNA
Source: RNAcentral
GUGGGGAAUAUUCCGCAAUGGACGAAAGUCUGACGGAGCAACGCCGCGUGAGUGAUGAAGGUUUUCGGACUGUAAAGCUCUGUUGUUUAGGACGAAAGUGCCUGUUGCAAAUAGUUACAGGUAUUGACGGUACUGAACGAGGAAGCCACGGCUAACUACGUGCCAGCAGCCGCGGUAAUACGUAGGUGGCAAGCGUUGUCCGGAAUUAUUGGGCGUAAAGAGCAUGUAGGCGGGAAUCUAAGUCUGUUGUGAAAAUGCGGGGCUCAACCCCGUAUUGCGAUGGAAGCUGGGUUUCUUGAGUGCAGGAGAGGAAAGGGGAAUUCCCAGUGUAGCGGUGAAAUGCGUAGAUAUUGGGAGGAACACCAGUGGCGAAGGCGCCUUUCUGGACUGUGUCUGACGCUGAGAUGCGAAAGCCAGGGUAGCGAACGGGAUUAGAAACCCGUGUAGUCC